This 301-nucleotide ribosomal RNA is filed under the name uncultured bacterium. RNAcentral describes it as "partial 16S ribosomal RNA". It matches the Rfam family "Bacterial small subunit ribosomal RNA", at positions 509 to 807 of the family's 1533-position model. The record is from RNAcentral.
CAGUAGCCGCGGUAAUGCGAGGGGGGCAAGCGUUGUUCGGAAUUAUUGGGCGUAAAGGGUGCGUAGGCGGUUCAGCAAGUCUCGUGUGAAAUCUUCGGGCUCAACCGCAGGCCUGCCUUUGAAACUGUGAGGCUGGAGUACCGGAGAGGUGGACGGAACUGCACGAGUAGAGGUGAAAUUCGUAGAUAUGUGCAGGAAUACCGAUGAUGAAGGUAGUUCACUGGACGGUAACUGACGCUGAAGUGCGAAAGCCGGGGGAGCGAACAGGAUUAGAUACCCCAGUAGUCCCUGUCUCUUAUAC